GGGCCCUUAGCUCAGGUGGUUAGAGCAGCGGACUCAUAAUCCGUCGGUCCCAGGUUCGAAUCCUGGAGGGCCCA
This 74-nucleotide transfer RNA is filed under the name Gemmatimonadota bacterium. RNAcentral describes it as "tRNA-Ile". It matches the Rfam family "tRNA". Rfam says of the family: Transfer RNA (tRNA) molecules are approximately 80 nucleotides in length. Their secondary structure includes four short double-helical elements and three loops (D, anti-codon, and T loops). Lineage: Bacteria; Pseudomonadati; Gemmatimonadota. RNAcentral also lists the same sequence under 2 other names. The record is from RNAcentral.